CGCCCAAUCCCGUCUGAUCUUGGAAG
This 26-nucleotide ribosomal RNA is filed under the name Pan troglodytes (chimpanzee). Lineage: Eukaryota; Metazoa; Chordata; Mammalia; Primates; Hominidae. The record is from RNAcentral.